RNAcentral lists this long non-coding RNA (223 nucleotides) under Rhinopithecus bieti (black snub-nosed monkey). Its description in RNAcentral is "lncRNA (ENSRBIG00000046667.1)". The record is from RNAcentral. Lineage: Eukaryota; Metazoa; Chordata; Mammalia; Primates; Cercopithecidae.
ACUCCUGUUUUAACCAGCAUGAUUUCCAGCAGUUCUAAUACAUGUUUUUUUUUUUUUAAGAAAAAAAUUCACCCUGACAACAAACAGUUGCUUCUAUCAUUUCUGCCAUCAAAUAGUAAAGAUCUGACAGCUCUUCAGGGGAAGAGUUACCAAGGAGGUGAAGUUAGAAUGAAAGAAAUCUCAAAAAUUAAAUUGGAAAGAAAAAAAUGUAAAAAAUUUUAAC